UAGGCGUAAAUAGAUGCGAGUUAAGUGUGGGGGCGAUCUACGAGAUGGCCCUGUGCUGUAGGGUAGCCGUUAAACUCGCUGCCUGGGGAGUACGGUCGCAAGGCUGAAACUUAAAGGAAUUGGCGGGGGAGGCACCACAACGGGUGGAGCCUGCGGUUUAAUUUGGACUCAACGCCGGGAAGCUCACCGGAUAAGACAGCGGAAUGAUUGCCGGGCUGAAGACCCUGCAUGACCAGCUGAGAGGAGGUGCAUGGCGUAGUCGUGU
Molecule: ribosomal RNA, 265 nt
Filed under: uncultured archaeon
Lineage: Archaea
Description: partial 16S ribosomal RNA
Rfam family: Archaeal small subunit ribosomal RNA
Source: RNAcentral